GACGAACGCUGGCGGCGUGCUUAACACAUGCAAGUCGUACGGUAAGGCCCUUUCGGGGGUACACGAGUGGCGAACGGGUGAGUAACACGUGAGUAACCUGCCCACAACUUUGGGAUAACGCUAGGAAACUGGUGCUAAUACUGGAUAUGUGCUCCUGCUGCAUGGUGGGGGUUGGAAAGCUCCGGCGGUUGUGGAUGGACUCGCGGCCUAUCAGCUUGUUGGUGGGGUAGUGGCCUACCAAGGCGGCGACGGGUAGCCGGCCUGAGAGGGUGACCGGCCACAUUGGGACUGAGAUACGGCCCAGACUCCUACGGGAGGCAGCAGUGGGGAAUAUUGCACAAUGGGCGCAAGCCUGAUGCAGCAACGCCGCGUGCGGGAGGACGGCCUUCGGGUUGUAAACCGCGUUCAGCAGGGACGAAGCUUUUUGUGACGGUACCUGCAGAAGAAGCACCGGCUAACUACGUG
RNAcentral lists this ribosomal RNA (465 nucleotides) under uncultured bacterium. Its description in RNAcentral is "partial 16S ribosomal RNA". It matches the Rfam family "Bacterial small subunit ribosomal RNA", at positions 28 to 507 of the family's 1533-position model. The record is from RNAcentral.